UACGUAUGGUGCAAGCGUUAUCCGGAUUUACUGGGUGUAAAGGGGGCGCAGGCGGCACGGCAAGCCUGAUGUGAAAGCCCGCGGCCCAACCGCGGGACUGCAUUGGGAACUACCGGGCUGGAGUGCCGGAGAGGUAGGCGGAAUUCCUAGUGUAGCGGUGAAAUGCGUAGAUAUUAGGAGGAACACCAGUGGCGAAGGCGGCCUACUGGACGGUGACUGACGCUGAGGCUCGAAAGCGUGGGGAGCGAACAGG
RNAcentral lists this ribosomal RNA (253 nucleotides) under uncultured bacterium. RNAcentral's name for it is "partial 16S ribosomal RNA". It matches the Rfam family "Bacterial small subunit ribosomal RNA", at positions 524 to 776 of the family's 1533-position model. The record is from RNAcentral.